AUAUUGCACAAUGGGCGCAAGCCUGAUGCAGCCAUGCCGCGUGUAUGAAGAAGGCCUUCGGGUUGUAAAGUACUUUCAGCGGGGAGGAAGGUGUUGAGGUUAAUAACCUCAGCGAUUGACGUUACCCGCAGAAGAAGCACCGGCUAACUCCGUGCCAGCAGCCGCGGUAAUACGGAGGGUGCAAGCGUUAAUCGGAAUUACUGGG
This 205-nucleotide ribosomal RNA is filed under the name Enterobacter roggenkampii. Its description in RNAcentral is "partial 16S ribosomal RNA". It matches the Rfam family "Bacterial small subunit ribosomal RNA", at positions 361 to 558 of the family's 1533-position model. The record is from RNAcentral. Lineage: Bacteria; Pseudomonadati; Pseudomonadota; Gammaproteobacteria; Enterobacterales; Enterobacteriaceae.